GACGAACGCUGGCGGCGUGCUUAACACAUGCAAGUCGAACGCUGAAGCUCAGCUUUUGUUGGGUGGAUGAGUGGCGAACGGGUGAGUAACACGUGAGUAACCUGCCCCCUUCUUUGGGAUAACGCCCGGAAACGGGUGCUAAUACUGGAUAUUCACUGGUCUUCGCAUGGGGGUUGGUGGAAAGGGUUUUUCUGGUGGGGGAUGGGCUCGCGGCCUAUCAGCUUGUUGGUGGGGUGAUGGCCUACCAAGGCUUUGACGGGUAGCCGGCCUGAGAGGGUGACCGGGCACAUUGGGACUGAGAUACGGCCCAGACUCCUACGGGAGGCAGCAGUGGGGAAGAUUGCACAAUGGGCGCAAGCCCGAUGCAGCGACGCCGCGUGAGGGAUGGAGGCCUUCGGGUUGUGAACCUCUUUCGCUCAUGGUCAAGCCGCAACAAUGGUUGUGGUGAGGGUAGUGGGUAAAGAAGCGCCGGCUAACUACGUG
This 483-nucleotide ribosomal RNA is filed under the name uncultured bacterium. RNAcentral's name for it is "partial 16S ribosomal RNA". It matches the Rfam family "Bacterial small subunit ribosomal RNA", at positions 28 to 507 of the family's 1533-position model. The record is from RNAcentral.